UACGUAGGCAGCAAGCGUUGUUCGGAGUUACUGGGCGUAAAGAGCUCGUAGGCGGCCAACUAAGUCAUACGUGAAAUCCCUCGGCUUAACCGGGGAACUGCGUCUGAUACUGGAUGGCUUGAGUUCGGGAGAGGGAUGCGGAAUUCCAGGUGUAGCGGUGAAAUGCGUAGAUAUCUGGAGGAACACCGGUGGCGAAGGCGGCAUCCUGGACCGAUACUGACGCUGAGGAGCGAAAGCCAGGGGAGCAAACGGG
Molecule: ribosomal RNA, 253 nt
Filed under: uncultured bacterium
Lineage: Bacteria
Description: partial 16S ribosomal RNA
Rfam family: Bacterial small subunit ribosomal RNA
Source: RNAcentral